UAAAUUUAAAGUUGCUUUAUUUUGUUUGUUAAGUAUUUAACGAUAGUAUUUAUAAAAGGUGACCCAGGAGAAUAUAAAUUUAUAGCGAUUGAUAAUGGCGUGAGAGCCAUAACCAACGGUAUACAGAAUAUUCCGGCUAGGAGGGAUUGGACCUGUUGGUCUUUCAGUCGAUCCACCAAUUCAUCAGCUGGCUGCAUCCGGUGGUCUUGGCGGUGGCCGACGACGGGGAUGGAUUUCGAGUUGAUCGGUGAGUUCAUCGUUGAUUGUAAGUGUGGAAAGUCUCUCAACAGCAUAGAAGCAAAUUUGCCUCAUCGCAGCAUUCUGAGAAGAUGGUUUUUGGCGAAAACUUUGUCCAUCGGUAGACUGUAGAAGAAAGAGCAAUUUUGCACAUUAUACACCAUGGCGAGUUGCCCUUCCAAUGCUCGAGACUUUGUCUGAAUGAAGCUCCAAAUGGGGGAAACAAAGGGGCAUGAGAAGAACAAGUGUGAAUGGAUCUCUGCAAUGGAUUUUGAAUAUUGAGAAAAGAGGUGCUGCCUUUGUCCAGGGGACAUUUGGGAAUUGACCAAAGAUAUGGGAUAUAGUUUGCUUGAGUGAGUAAUUCCCAGGGGGAGAGGAAAGCCAUUGGAAUGUGUCACUGUUUUGUGGUUGUGGCGGUGGAAGGAGGAGAAGCUCAGGGAAAAGAAGAGUAAUGUAUUGUGGAAAGGACCAGGCACCUCCAUGAAUGAAGUAGCUGACCUUGGUUUCAAGUGGGAUGUCAGAAGCAAUGAUAUGUUGCUCCCCAAUUCUAUCUGCAAAUGGGCCAUUUCCAAUUUUGUGACUAAUAAACUUCUUGGUAAGUGGUCUUACUUGCAGAAUCUUCCUCCAGCUCCAUGAGCAAGACUGCGGAAUCUUCAAAUCCCGAAAGUUGGAGUCUUUAAUCAGAUUGCUGGGGGAUUUUGUGACAACCUGCUAACCUGCAUCGUGCGAGCAUGGGACUACAAGAUUACGAAAAUGGUGCAAUGGCUGAACCUUCUCUCAGUUUCUGAACAUUAACUAGUCCAAGAAUAUCGCAUUGCAAGAGUCAGCAUUGUCACUUGACUAAAGAAAGGAUACAGACUUUCUCAGAUCAAGAUCAACGGUAGAAUUGAAGAAUAGUAUUGGGUUUGCUAAAUUUCCUAUAUUUAAUAAGCUCAAGCAACUGGAGUUGGGAAUUAGUGCUAGUGAUGAUGAAGACCUUAUUGUUUUUGCUCCCCUGAGGCAUGUACUUUCUUGUAUAAAUUUGUGUUGGAGCUGCAAUGGUCCAAGCCCAUUCUGAGAAGAAAAUGGCUAAGGUCAGAACCUUAAGGAAGUCUUUGGGAGUUCAUGGAGACCCAAGGAGAAAAAAGCAGCGAGAAAGCGUACCAAGUACCUUGGAACCGAACUUCCUUCUGCAAUUGCUUAUACAAUGAUGAAGUUCGCAUCUUUUGAGACCAUUGUGGAGAUGCUCUACAAGUAUGCUAUCCCAACUCCAAAAGACCAGUGCAGCAAAAGCUUGCAGCUUGGGGUGAGCUUUGCUGGUGGAUAUGUUGCUGGUGUAUUCUGUGCGAUCGUAUCACAUCUUGCUGAUAAUCUGGAUGUGAGUUAAAGAUGCUGAUACUAAAAUAUGUAAUUUCUUUAAAUAUAUAUAUAUGUGUAUAUAUAUAUAUAUAUAUGUAUUAUCCUGGCAAACUAGGGUGAGGAGGGACUCGAACACGGCACACCCGCUCAGAGAGUUGGGCUCUCUACUAACUAGGCCACUGAGUAAUGCUAAUGCCCUUCUAUUUUCUUUCUUUAGGGUCACUGUGUUUGUUAUACUUAUUUAUUUGUGCAUGUUACACGCUGUAGAGAAGCUAGGCUUGUGGGGUUUGUUUACCCGUGGCCUUCCUCUUCUUAUUGUCAAGAUCGGAACCCUUACUGGAGCGCAGUGGGGUAUCUAUGAAGCUUUCAAAGUUUUUGUUGGGUUGUAAGUUUUUUCUGUUUUAGUUAUGAUUUUCCCUGUGGAAAUUUAUAUUAUACUUAUAUGUCCUUAUUAUCUAAUUUUAACCUACAUAUAUGGAUGUUCUUGUUUUCAGCUAUUUCUCAACAGUGUAGUAUACUUCUUUACCUUGAAAUAACGAGGUUUUGUUUCUCCUUUUAGGCCAACUACUGGUGGUACUGCACCUGCGAAGGUGUGAACUGCUGCGAUUAUGAUUGACAAAUACAAUGCUCUUCGCCUGUAAGACUAUGAGAAAGUGAUACUCUUUUUUUGUUGGAUCAAUAAUGUAGGAUUUCCGAUGCCUGGUAUGAUUGAUAUUUGAUGCUUGCAGGGAUUGUAUUCGAUCCAAGACAUAUUAGUAUCUGUUUGCAUUAUUCAUUUUUUUUGCAGUUUACCCUCUGAUUCUUUAGAGGAUUGAUUUCAUCCUCUUUUCUCUGCCAAAAAAAUAGCAACUUGAUAUGAUGGAUUAAUGGUUUUGCCAUUUGGAGGAAUCUUGUGCUGAUAAUAAUGUGGCAAAUUCAGGUUCUUUUGUAGUCUGCCAUGUACCAUAUUGUUUUGACGAUAGUUGAUGCUUUAAAUCUGUUAAUGUGACAAAUUCCAGUUGAUCAAAUUUAUUCUAAAAUUUCCAUGUUGACACGGCA
This is a long non-coding RNA of Cornus florida, 2613 nucleotides long. RefSeq lists it as uncharacterized. The record is from RefSeq and is a predicted model, not a curated record. The transcript has 8 exons. Lineage: Eukaryota; Viridiplantae; Streptophyta; Magnoliopsida; Cornales; Cornaceae.